UACGUAGGUGGCAAGCGUUGUCCGGAUUUACUGGGUGUAAAGGGCGCGUAGGCGGGAAUACAAGUCAGAUGUGAAAUCUGGGGGCUUAACCCUCAAACUGCAUUUGAAACUGUAUUUCUUGAGUAUCGGAGAGGCAGGCGGAAUUCCAAGUGUAGCGGUGAAAUGCGUAGAUAUUUGGAGGAACACCAGUGGCGAAGGCGGCCUGCUGGACGACAACUGACGCUGAGGCGCGAAAGCGUGGGGAGCAAACAGG
RNAcentral lists this ribosomal RNA (253 nucleotides) under uncultured bacterium. RNAcentral describes it as "partial 16S ribosomal RNA". It matches the Rfam family "Bacterial small subunit ribosomal RNA", at positions 524 to 776 of the family's 1533-position model. The record is from RNAcentral.